UCCCAUUCAGUCAGUAUCUCCACCUCAACGGGACGGGACUGUUCAAAGUUUCUAGUAAAUAAAAAAUCAACAAAAUUCUUUGUAUUUUGUAACAAAAUUUUGAGAGCUAAAUUCAAAGUGCAUCAAAAUGGCAGAUCCAGAUGCUCGGGAUGCCGAAACCGUACCGCCACCCAUUGGCGGGGAAAACAAUCUUAGCAUGAACAAUGAGCGUUUGGAUUGCGAGAAUCUUGAUGAAAUGACAGCGAUUGAUCAAUCCCGAUAGGCCGGCAUUUCCAUCAGUGCUCCUUCGCUUCUAUGGGAAUAUAUUUGUUGAUUUCUUUAGGUCCAUAUUCGCCUAAAGGAACAAAUUCGUGAAGAAAUCCUGGAUAAUGCUGUGAAAAAAAAAACUUUGGCAGAUAUAUUUUCCAUGCUUAUAAAGCUCUUUAUAUUUAAA
RNA transcript from Drosophila miranda, 433 nucleotides. RefSeq lists it as uncharacterized. The record is from RefSeq and is a predicted model, not a curated record. The transcript is spliced from 3 exons. NCBI's taxonomy places the organism in Eukaryota, Metazoa, Arthropoda, Insecta, Diptera, Drosophilidae.